RNAcentral lists this ribosomal RNA (497 nucleotides) under uncultured bacterium. Its description in RNAcentral is "partial 16S ribosomal RNA". It matches the Rfam family "Bacterial small subunit ribosomal RNA", at positions 28 to 507 of the family's 1533-position model. The record is from RNAcentral.
GAUGAACGCUGGCGGCGUGCCUAAUACAUGCAAGUCGAGCGAACAGACGAGGAGCUUGCUCCUCUGACGUUAGCGGCGGACGGGUGAGUAACACGUGGAUAACCUACCUAUAAGACUGGGAUAACUUCGGGAAACCGGAGCUAAUACCGGAUAAUAUAUUGAACCGCAUGGUUCAAUAGUGAAAGACGGUUUUGCUGUCACUUAUAGAUGGAUCCGCGCCGCAUUAGCUAGUUGGUAAGGUAACGGCUUACCAAGGCAACGAUGCGUAGCCGACCUGAGAGGGGGAUAGGCGACACUGGAACUGAGACGCGGUCCAGACUCCUACGGGAGGCAGCAGUAGGGAAUCUUACGCAAUGGGCGAAAGCCUGACGGAGCAACGCCGCGUGAGUGAUGAAGGUCUUCGGAUCGUAAAACUCUGUUAUUAGGGAAGAACAAAUGUGUAAGUAACUAUGCACGUCUUGACGGUACCUAAUCAGAAAGCCACGGCUAACUACGUG